Molecule: long non-coding RNA, 486 nt
Organism: Mizuhopecten yessoensis (Yesso scallop)
Lineage: Eukaryota; Metazoa; Mollusca; Bivalvia; Pectinida; Pectinidae
Exons: 3
Source: RefSeq, a predicted model, not a curated record
CGUCAGCAAAUUAUUCAAGGGUAUAAAUGGUGGGAUUAGCGAUGGGACGUCCAUUUACUCUGGAAGCGAAGAACGCCUAAUAAGGUAUCCAGUUGAUUCGACCACAGACCUACCCGUAUUGAUGGCCAGAGUUACGUGCCUACUGUUGCUAGGCUGUCUGCUUUCUUGCUGUAUGGCUAAUACCCUAGAGAGUCUUGUCAGACGGAACACUCCGAAAGGCCACACCUUCAGCGCGUUCGUUGAGAUAUGCGAGUCGUGUGGCGAAUAUUUUGGAAAUAGCCUCUCCUACAGAUGUAUCAUGGACCGUUCAUUAACAACCUUUCGACAGUGUAACACAGCCGUAGUAUCCGUCAACAGGAGGCGCUGAUCUUCGUGUCAUUUCCGGGAGAUCAGAUUCCAAUGCUAUUUAUUGACAGACUUGGUUUAGCAAUCUUAUUAAUUUAUUUUAUAUACUGCUAAUUCAUAUAUUGAUCAAAUGUAAUAAAA